UGGAGACGAGGUGCUGCAUGGCUGUCGUCAGCUCGUGUCGUGAGAUGUUGGGUUAAGUCCCGCAACGAGCGCAACCCUUGCCUUUAGUUGCCAGCAGUUCGGCUGGGCACUCUAAAGGGACUGCCGGUGUUAAACCGGAGGAAGGUGGGGAUGACGUCAAGUCCUCAUGGCCUUUAUGACCAGGGCUACACACGUACUACAAUGGCCGAUACAAAGGGCAGCGACACUGCGAGGUGAAGCCAAUCCCGUAAAAUCGGUCUCAGUCCGGAUUGGAGUCUGCAACUCGACUCCAUGAAGUUGGAAUCGCUAGUAAUCGUGGAUCAGCAUGCCACGGUGAAUACGUUCCCGGGCCUU
RNAcentral lists this ribosomal RNA (354 nucleotides) under uncultured Desulfobulbus sp. RNAcentral's name for it is "bacterial SSU rRNA". It matches the Rfam family "Bacterial small subunit ribosomal RNA", at positions 1028 to 1382 of the family's 1533-position model. Lineage: Bacteria; Pseudomonadati; Thermodesulfobacteriota; Desulfobulbia; Desulfobulbales; Desulfobulbaceae. The record is from RNAcentral.